RNAcentral lists this non-coding RNA (566 nucleotides) under unclassified sequences. Its description in RNAcentral is "ROOL RNA". It matches the Rfam family "ROOL RNA". Rfam says of the family: Firmicutes, Fusobacteria (1 example), Tenericutes (1 example). Environment (Cow rumen (57)) The record is from Rfam by way of RNAcentral.
GCUAUAAUUACUUUAGAUUGAGAUGCUGGUGCAGAUGUUGCAAGCUGCCAGCAGCCCUCGCACGGACAGAGAAGCAAGGAUACUUGUAAUCGUUCCCGUUGAUUUUAUCAGGAUGCUGUAAAAGGCAAAGCGAGUAGGCGUACGAUCAUUUCGAGAAGUCAAAAGCUAACAAAGCGUGGUCGGAAUAAUAGACGCUCCUGUGGAGAAUAACCUAUCAGACAGCUCUUUGGCAAGGGUGUGAAAACUUGAUAGGAAAGCCAAACAAUCCGAUUCGUAGUGAAGAGAUUAAAAUCUCGUAUAACACGCUAUGUUGAACAAGUAGCCCAAUCUACGUUUGAAGAUAAUUCUUUCCGAAUGGCAUUUAUUCAAAAAGAAAAAUCCGAAAGCGGGUGAAAGUUAGAGGUUUCAAGCCUCUUGUCUCAACGGGCAGCGGCGUUUGAGUCGUUGUCGGGCUUAACUGCAUUAGGGUAGCUCCUUAAUGCACGGGUUAAGUUCGGGCAUGGCCGAAGAUGAUGAGUCGGAUGAUUGUAGGGUGAACAAAAGCCCCUCAAUCUUUUUUUUUGUUG